RNAcentral lists this ribosomal RNA (392 nucleotides) under uncultured bacterium. RNAcentral describes it as "bacterial SSU rRNA". It matches the Rfam family "Bacterial small subunit ribosomal RNA", at positions 355 to 764 of the family's 1533-position model. The record is from RNAcentral.
UCGGGAAUUUUGGGCAAUGGGCGAAAGCCUGACCCAGCAACGCCGCGUGAGGGAUGAAGUAUUUCGGUAUGUAAACCUCGAAAGAAUGGGAAGAAUAAAUGACGGUACCAUUUAUAAGCUCCGGCUAACUACGUGCCAGCAGCCGCGGUAAUACGUAGGGAGCAAGCGUUGUUCGGAUUUACUGGGCGUAAAGGGCGCGUAGGCGGCGCGGUAAGUCACUUGUGAAAUCUCUGAGCUUAACUCAGAACGGCCAAGUGAUACUGCUGGGCUAGAGUGCGGAAGAGGCAACCGGAAUUCUUGGUGUAGCGGUGAAAUGCGUAGAUAUCAAGAGGAACACCUGAGGCGAAGGCGGGUUGCUGAGCCGACACUGACGCUGAUGCGCGAAAGCCAGG